GUGCCAGCAGCCGCGGUAAUACGAAGGGGGCUAGCGUUGCUCGGAAUCACUGGGCGUAAAGGGCGCGUAGGCGGACGUUUAAGUCAGAGGUGAAAGCCCAGGGCUCAACCCUGGAAUGGCCUUUGAUACUGGACGUCUCGAGACCGGAAGAGGUUGGUGGAACUGCGAGUGUAGAGGUGAAAUUCGUAGAUAUUCGCAAGAACACCAGUGGCGAAGGCGGCCAACUGGUCCGGUUCUGACGCUGAGGCGCGAAAGCGUGGGGAGCAAACAGGAUUAGAUACCCCUGUAGUCC
This 292-nucleotide ribosomal RNA is filed under the name uncultured bacterium. RNAcentral's name for it is "partial 16S ribosomal RNA". It matches the Rfam family "Bacterial small subunit ribosomal RNA", at positions 505 to 796 of the family's 1533-position model. The record is from RNAcentral.